This 686-nucleotide ribosomal RNA is filed under the name uncultured bacterium. RNAcentral describes it as "bacterial SSU rRNA". It matches the Rfam family "Bacterial small subunit ribosomal RNA", at positions 19 to 719 of the family's 1533-position model. The record is from RNAcentral.
CUGGCUCAGGACGAACGCUGGCGGCGUGCUUAACACAUGCAAGUCGAGCGGUAAGGCCCCUUCGGGGGUACACGAGCGGCGAACGGGUGAGUAACACGUGGGUGACCUGCCCUUAGCUCUGGGAUAAGCCUGGGAAACUGGGUCUAAUACCGGAUAUGACUCCACGACGCAUGUUGUGGGGUGGAAAGCCUUGUGCGGCUAGGGAUGGGCCCGCGGCCUAUCAGCUUGUUGGUGGGGUGAUGGCCUACCAAGGCGACGACGGGUAGCCGGCCUGAGAGGGCGACCGGCCACACUGGGACUGAGACACGGCCCAGACUCCUACGGGAGGCAGCAGUGGGGAAUCUUGCGCAAUGGGCGAAAGCCUGACGCAGCGACGCCGCGUGAGGGAUGACGGCCUUCGGGUUGUAAACCUCCUUCAGCUCCGACGAAGCGAGAGUGACGGUAGGAGCAGAAGAAGCACCGGCCAACUACGUGCCAGCAGCCGCGGUAAUACGUAGGGUGCAAGCGUUGUCCGGAAUUAUUGGGCGUAAAGAGCUCGUAGGCGGUCUGUCACGUCGGCUGUGAAAACUCGGGGCUCAACUCCGAGCUUGCAGUCGAUACGGGCAGGCUAGAGUUCGGCAGGGGAGACUGGAAUUCCUGGUGUAGCGGUGAAAUGCGCAGAUAUCAGGAGGAACACCGGUGGCGAA